GCCCUCGUAGCCCAACAGGCAGAGGCAGGCGGCUUAAAACCGUCCCAGUGUGGGUUCGAGUCCCACCGAGGGCA
Molecule: transfer RNA, 74 nt
Filed under: Nocardioidaceae bacterium
Lineage: Bacteria; Bacillati; Actinomycetota; Actinomycetes; Propionibacteriales; Nocardioidaceae
Description: tRNA-Leu
Rfam family: tRNA
About the family: Transfer RNA (tRNA) molecules are approximately 80 nucleotides in length. Their secondary structure includes four short double-helical elements and three loops (D, anti-codon, and T loops).
Source: RNAcentral